ACUCAAAUGAAUAGACGGGGGCCCGCACAAGCAGUGGAGUAUGUGGUUUAAUUCGAAGCAACGCGAAGAACCUUACCAGGGCUUGACAUACACAGGAAUAACUGAGAGAUCAGUUAGCCCUUCGGGGCCUGUGAACAGGUGGUGCAUGGUUGUCGUCAGCUCGUGUCGUGAGAUGUUGGGUUAAGUCCCGCAACGAGCGCAACCCCUAUUGUUAGUUGCCAUCAUUCAGUUGGGCACUCUAGCGAGACUGCCGGUGAUAAAUCGGAGGAAGGUGGGGACGACGUCAAAUCAUCAUGCCCCUUAUGUCCUGGGCUACACACGUACUACAAUGGCUAUUACAGAGGGAUGCAAGACCGUAAGGUGGAGCCAAACCCUAAAAAUAGUCCCAGUUCAGAUUGUGGGCUGAAACCCGCCCACAUGAAGUCGGAAUUGCUAGUAAUGGCAGGUCAGCAUACUGCCGUGAAUACGUUCCCGGGCCUUGCACACACCGCCCGU
RNAcentral lists this ribosomal RNA (495 nucleotides) under uncultured bacterium. Its description in RNAcentral is "partial 16S ribosomal RNA". It matches the Rfam family "Bacterial small subunit ribosomal RNA", at positions 899 to 1397 of the family's 1533-position model. The record is from RNAcentral.